Molecule: ribosomal RNA, 487 nt
Filed under: uncultured Corynebacterium sp.
Lineage: Bacteria; Bacillati; Actinomycetota; Actinomycetes; Mycobacteriales; Corynebacteriaceae
Description: partial 16S ribosomal RNA
Source: RNAcentral
CACGUAGUUAGUCGGUGCUUCUUCUCAACCUACCGUCACAAAAGCUUCGUCGGUUGCGAAAGGAGUUUACAACCCGAAGGCCGUCAUCCCCCACGCGGCGUCGCUGCAUCAGGCUUGCGCCCAUUGUGCAAUAUUCCCCACUGCUGCCUCCCGUAGGAGUCUGGGCCGUAUCUCAGUCCCAAUGUGGCCGUACACCCUCUCAGGCCGGCUACCCGUCGACGCCUUGGUAGGCCAUUACCCCACCAACAAGCUGAUAGGCCGCGAGCUCAUCCCAUACCGCAAAAGCUCUCCACAAUCGCAUCCAAACAAUUGUCAUAUUCGGUAUUAGACCCAGUUUCCCAGGCUUAUCCCAAAGUACAGGGCAGAUCACCCACGUGUUACUCACCCGUUCGCCACUCGACGUACCCUGCAAGCAGGGUCCUUCCGUUCGACUUGCAUGUGUUAAGCACGCCGCCAGCGUUCAUCCUGAGCCAGGAUCAAAACUCUA